GGUGCGAUAAAGCCACAAGCUCGCAACUUGCCGCGGCCGGGCGCGGAGAACCCUGGGGCCCGAUAGCGGCGGCGCGAUUAAGCAUAAGUCCAAGGCAGCACGCCCGGACCAUUCGUAAACGACUUGGUUCUCGGGAGAGGCGUAUUAAUUCGCGAGAGCGGACAUCGUUUCCGCGAUCCGAUGAGACCAACCUCACGCCCGGACGGACCAUUCGUAAACGACUUGGUUCUCGGGAGAGGCGUAUUAAUUCGCGAGAGCGGACAUCGUUUCCGCGAUCCGAUGAGACCAACCUCACGCCCGGACGGUCCGUCUUGUCGUCUAGACAGGACCCUCCGCGCGGUCAGACGUUGUUCUCCUCUCCUCGCCGCUCGCUCCGCGCGGGCGGCGAGGGUCCUCCCCUCCCCCACA
This 408-nucleotide long non-coding RNA is filed under the name Bemisia tabaci. Its description in RNAcentral is "lncRNA ENSSWEETPG008635". The record is from RNAcentral. Lineage: Eukaryota; Metazoa; Arthropoda; Insecta; Hemiptera; Aleyrodidae.